UAAAGGUCCGUGUAUGUGUUUUGUGGUAAGGUCUGUGGCAAUGUCUGUGGGAAUUUUAAACCUGUGUUUUAAACUAAACCACAUACGAAUCACCCAAAGUUCGAUUAUUAUUUUAUUAUUUGCUGUUAUUUGGUUAAUAUAAGUGAAAUGAAUACCAGUACAGAGACCAGUAUUUCUAAUAGCAGUUAUUGCUGCGAAUGUGAUCGCAGUUUUGUGCGUUUUAGUGUGCUUCGGAAACAUGUUAAAAAAUUUCAUCCGAAUCAGAUAGAUGAAAUAGCACCUUUAAAAACUAAAGUAUAUGCAUUUACCUGCGAAUUUUGUAAUAAACAUUUUAGCGCAAAGAGGAAUUUAGCAUGGCAUUUAAAAUCUCAUGCACAAGUGGCACAAGGUGAUGGUUCAAAUAAUACCAAUAUCCCGGUACAAAAUAUUAGAAAAAAAUGUCCUAUGUGUGAUUUUGGCAGUAGGUUUAAAGAUGACUUACAUGAACAUUUUAAACGGGAUCAUGAUAUUACCGUUAAAACAAAUUACAUGAACUUUUCCACAGCAGAGCAAUUUAGUUCAUGGUUCUCUCAAACCGAAAAGGAAACACAAACUAAAUUUGUUUUAGAAAGACGUGUAACAGCAUCUAAAGCUAUUUAUACUAGCUAUGUGUGUCACCGUUCAGGUUUUUUUAUAUCAAGAGGUUUUGGAAAACGUCAUCUAAAAUCUCAAGGCAGUAAAAAAAUUAAUGGAUUUUGUCCAGCUAGAAUUCAAGUAACCAUUAACAAAUAUUGUGAUAGUCAUAAGGUCAGUUUUGUAGAGACACAUGUUGGGCAUCAGAAUGAUUUGUGUCAUUUGUUUUUGACCAAUGAUGAACGAAAAGUAUUAGCCACUAAGAUAUCUAUGAAUAUACCAUUUGAUGAAAUAUUAAAUGAGAUUAGAGAUACAGUUAGUACGAAUUCAAUGGAGAGAAUGCAUUUAUUGACGAAAAAAGACUUGUUUAACAUAGAGGCUUGUUUUAACUUGGACUCUACAUCACAGAGACAUAAAAAUGAUGACAUUAAUGUGGACGCAUGGGUAGAGGAAAUGAAAAGUUCCUGUGUCUUGUUUUACAAACCACAAGGCACUAUCCUGGAAGACUAUCCACAAUUUAGGCAGGAAGAUUUUAUUUUAAUUAUAAUGACAGAAGAUCAAAAAAUGAUGUUGUUAAACUAUGCCCAAAAUUAUAUUUGUAUAGAUGGAAUCCAUGGUCUUAACAACAAUAAUUUCAAGUUAUAUACACUUCUAGUUUUGGAUGAACUUCAUCAAGGAUUUCCAUGUUCAUUUUUAGUAUCUAAUCGUAGUGAUGAAGUAGUUAUGAAUACUUAUUUCAAUUGUAUAAAAGCAGAAGUCGGUAAUAUUGAAACCAAAGUUUUCAUGUCAGACAUGGGUGAAUCUUAUUAUAAUGCGUGGAUUCAAAUAAUGUCAGAAGCACAAUUUCGAUUAUUCUGCAGCUGGCAUGUUGAUAGUGAAUGGAGAAAAAAUCUACAUAAUAUUAAACUUAAGGAAAAUCAGGCUACCAUUUACAAAAUGUUAAGGACUUUAAUGCAAGAAAGUGAUACUGUUACAUUUGAAAAAAUGAUUAAUGAAUUUGUAGUUCAGUUAUUUGAAAAGUCUGAAACUGUUGAAUUUGCAAAGUAUUUUCAAAACUAUUAUGUACAAAAUUGCAAAAGUUGGGCUUAUUGCUAUUGGAUUCACUCUGGACUAAACACUAAUAUGCACCUAGAACGCUUACAUAAAUCUAUUAAGCACAUAUAUUUGCGGGGGAAGAAGGUUCAGCAUUUGGAUAAAACUUUGGGAGUAUUAAUGAAGUUAGUGAGAGACCUUUUAUUUGAUAGAUUACUUUCUUUAAAUGAAGGGAAAAUUUCAUCAAAACUAAAAGAGCUACAGAAACGACACGAAUCUAGUAUAGUGCUAAACACAAACUCUAUUUGUGAGAAAAACGAAGGAAUUUGGUUGAUACAAUCUACAUCUGGAUCUAGUAGUGUAUAUACAAUUUCUGAAAAUAAUACUAGCUGUGAAUGUCAGUUGUCUUGCUCGCAAUGUAAGACCUGUAUUCACAAAUAUUCUUGUGAUUGCAUAGAUUGUGCAAUUCGUUGGAAUAUGUGUAAACACAUACAUUUGUUAUGCAGAUACCUUAAAGAACAAAAGAAUACAAAUGAAGCCCCUUGUCUUGAAUAUUGUUCUGACGAUUCAGAAAAUUUUGACACAAUGGAAUCACAGACAUUUAAAGAAACAGAACAGAAAAUUAAUCAGAUAAGUAGUAAUAUUACUCAUAUAGUUGGUAACAAUGAUCUUUGUAAUAAGAAGAAAAAACUACUGGAAAAGAUAUCACGAGAAAUUUUAAGCAUCGAAAACAUUAACCAGUUUAAAGCAAUAGAAAAGAUUGUUGCUUCUAUUGGACCAACACUAAAAGCUCUGCAGUGUACAGCUGUGCAGAAAAAUAUUAUCCAACAAAGAAGACUUCCAAAAAAAGCGUCCAAGAAAAGCCUCCCGAAAAUUUAUUAAACCCUCUGAGCUAGAAGAAAAUAAUGUAGCUCUUAUUAUAAAAUAAAUUAAAAUUAAAGAGCACUGUUUAUUAGAGAUGAGCGAUAUUUUUGUACCGGCGACUUUUACCGGUGACUUGCACGGCCACCGGUAAUACCAGUGACCUAUGUCUAUGGCAAAGAGCGACCAGCGACCCUGGUCGCUGUUAAUAAAGUCUCAGCGGUGAACAGAAAACUAUCUAUAAUGACUACGAUAUGGUCGCCGCGCCUGUCCCUGGUCGCUGCAUCGAAUCUUGGGCCCAGCGGUGAAAUGUGCCACAGGCGAUAUAUUGCAAAAUGCAGAGGAGCGUAUUAUAUGAUUUAUUUUUUAUAACCCACUAAUUGUAGGACAGAGACUCUGGAUCUAUUAUCACAACCUACUCUUGGAAUCAUAAUAUUGUAUUACAUUUUAUAUUAUAAAAUAUAAUACAUUAGUAUAAAUUUAAUUAUCAAUUUUCAAAAUUGUUUAACUAACAAAUUUAAUUGUAUAACUAUGUAGUAGUCAGAAACAAUUUUUUUCUUAAAAUUUUGAAUACUUGUGAUUGUAAAUGAAUAAGUUUGUUGUUAUUGGAUGCGGAACUCGUUCAGAUAUUAAUGUUAAAUAAAAAAAAUCAUUCUCUGUUUAUACCUGACAUUUAUACAAUGUAUGUAUCUUUCCGUAAUUAAUUGACAGGUGAUGCCUAUAAUGUGAAAAACAAGAAUAUUUGAGCGGCUCUCCUAACGGGAUAUAAAUUUAAAAUUAAUCUAAUACAUAAAUAGAAAUAGCCAUAUUAAAUAUUAAAUAAACUUCCCAAGACAAAAAGAAAUGGUAUCUAAAACGUUAUAAUAUCUUUGUUUUGACUUGAUAAAAGCUAAUCCAUUCACGUUUUUUUUUCUGUCGCACUUUUAUUAAUUACUUCCUUUUUUUUACUUUUUUCUUUUCCACAAUAAUAAACAUCGCAACUAUUAUAGACGUACAGCGGCGGCAGCAUAUCGAUUGAGCUAAUUUAACCAGCGACUUCAGUCGCUGGUCGCUAGAAGUAAAAAUUAUUCAGUGGUCGCUGGCACACAUCGAUACGCCCGGUCACCGUCUCGGCUCCUAGCGCAAGCUGCAAACGGGAUCGGAUGAAGACGAGCAGGUAUUUUGUAUCGUUGAGUCUCGACGGUCGCGGUGACUUAAGUUGCUGCUAAAAUAAUAAUAAUAGUAAAAAGAUUUAUUGCAUGGAAAAAUAAAAUUUUACAUACAAAGGUGGCCAGUAUCAACAGGGUUGUUUUUUCAUGACCACCUAAAGGUAAUAACAAUAAUAUAACAUUAAAUAAAACAUUCCAUAAAUAUAAUAACAACAAUAAUAACACUGCAGGGGUGCAUGUUGUCACCUCCACGCGGUGCAUCCCGGGCAACGGAAUUUUCCGGCUAACGACAACACAACCACUUGUAGGGCUAACCCCCUUCAAGUGUGUAGAACGGGUUCCAAAAAUAAGUACCCAAGCCUCGGAGGAGCGUCGUAACGAUCGGGGACGACGCGGGAACUCACAGCCCGAUCAAAAUGUUGACGAUCCAGCUUCGACACUACCGACACAAAAUGACACAACAAACACUCCACAUCACUCAAUGGACGUUCAAGAGCUAAUUGUCCCCGCCACCGGAAGUGUUACGCAGAAUCCCCCUUCUGUGUCCACCCAAGUGGUGAAUGAACCAGUAAAACAGCAGCAGAGUAGACGGCGCAUUGUAUGGACAACUGAAAUGAACAAAAAUAUCAUGCGCUACUUUCGUGUGACGAACCUUGAGAGAGAUACCGCACUAUAUGCAGACAAACUUCAAGAAGCCUUUGUCGCGAUCUACCCCCAUUUGUCUCAUAUACCACAAAAGAGAGCAGCUAUGCAGAAAAAUGUAAUACUAAGGAAUAAUUUGCUACCCGAAGCCGUAGUAGAUAUUUUAAAAGAAGAGGUCGAGAAGGAGCUGCAAGAGAAAAAUGUUGCACUUGAUAGAACUGACAAUCGAGAAACACUCCUAGAACCUGAGACACCUACAAACAAUAGUUCAAAAAAGAAUCAGCCACGAUCUGAACUGCGACAAGAAAAUCCUAUCUUCACAAAAAUGAGUAAUACAUUGGAACAACUUCUUAUUGAGUAUGAUGGCAUAGAUCCGAAAAACAGGCAACUUUUGCCCAAGCUCAAUUAUAAUUCCCAGACGAAUGCACUAAUUUCGACAAUAAACAGAAUUAUCGAAACAAAACCUCUUGCAGAUUAUAAUAUGAUUCAACUUCAUUUACGCAUCUACUGUGCCGCAAGAACAGUCCUUAGUCAGAAUCAGAAGUUGUUUACUAGUCUUUCAGAAACCUCUAAAAAGAUCGCUACGAAACCAAAAUGGCAGCUGCGUCUAGAAAAUAAAAUUAAAAACCUUAGGCGGAAAAUAGGUAUUACCACAGCACUAUCAAACCAUAAACUUACCAAUAUGCAAAAAACCAACAGACAUCCAACAAAAGCUAUAUAUGAAACCACCUACAGAACACAAACACAUAAUAACUGAUUACGUGGACACUUUAAAACAAAAACUAGCAGUGUAUAGCAAAAGACUGCGUAGAUAUGGAGACUCUAAUGCAAGAAAAAGAGACAACCAACUCUUUCGGAAAAAUCAGCGAUCUUUUUAUAGAAAACUUCGACAAGAUGCUGUAGACCCUGGAAAUGGAUUCAGAAAGAGGAAGAAAGGUUUUCAAAUAUCCAAAAAAUGCCAUACACAUUAAUAACUUGCAAGGAUGUUGAAGAAACUCUGUUGAAAUCCGCCAACUGGAGAGCACCUGGCAUAGACGGUAUACAUAACUUCUGGUUGAAACGACUGAAUGUGUUACACCUACACAUUGCACGUAUAUUUAACAGUUUUAUCGAAUCUCCAUCACUCACACCCCAUUUUUUUACAGAAGGAAUUACGUAUCUUCUUCCUAAAUCCUCUAAUACAUCUGACCCAUCUCAAUAUAGGCCAAUCACCUGUUUGCCGACAUUAUAUAAGCUCCUCUCGGGAAUUCUGUGCACAAAAAUCUAUAACCACCUCUCAGAGCACAACAUUAUGACUGCAAAUGCAAAGAACAACUAACCAUUGACGCCGUUAUUCUUGAACAGACCCGAAAACUAUGUCGCAAUAUAAACAUCGCAUACAUUGACUACAGAAAAGCGUUCGAUACUAUUCCUCACUCCUGGCUACUUCAUGUAUUGGAAAUUUAUGGAAUCAAUCGUGACAUCGUCAAGUUUCUGAAAGACACUAUGAUUGAGUGGUCUACCUCAUUGCAAAUUACACAAGAAGAAACACAACUUAAAACCAAUAAAAUACGCAUACAGAGAGGAAUAUUUCAAGGUGAUUCGCUAAGUGCUUUUUGGUUUUGCCUAGCACUUCACCCAAUAUCCAACACCGUUAAAAAUACAAAAUAUGGCGUGAACGUCAAAGGAAGCAGGAACCAAUGUAGAAUCAAUCAUCUAUUCUACAUGGAUGAUCUCAAAUUAUACGCUGCCAACAGGAAACAACUUGAUAGUAUACUCGAACUGACUAACAACAUGACGCAAGAUAUAGGAAUGUCUUUUGGGCUAGACAAGUGCAAAAUUGUUACCGUCGAAAAAGGCCAGUUGAUGGAUGGAUUAGAUUUUGAGCUGGAAGGUGGAGAUUUUAUUGAGAGAAUUGGGAUUGGUCACUACAAGUAUUUAGAAAUCAUACAAACACAUAAAAACGAACAACUAAAAUAAAAUAAUGAAAGACAAAUACUCAAAAGAAUUCAAACAAAGACUUGUGAGCACUCAAAACUAAACUUUCAUCAAAUAAUAUCAUAAAAGCUAUUAAUACUUGUGCCGUUCCAGUUUUUACAUACUCUUUUGGUAUUGUUAAGUGGUCUGAUACAGAUCUGGAAGCACUUAAUCGAUUGGUCCGCACCACUUUGACUAAAUUCCAAAUGCAACAUCCAAAAUCAUCACAGAUAAGAGUAAACCUCCAAAAAUCGGAAGGAGGAAGAGGAUUAAUCGACCUCAAAAAUCUUCACUAUGCACAAAUCCAUGACAUGCGUCAGUAUUUUUAUAAAAAUGAAUCCAAGGAAGUACACCGAACAAUUAUUGAGUCAGAUAAAUCCUAUACACCCCUAAACUUAGCAAAUAGGAAUGAAAAUCUGAUUAAUCUUAUAAAGACAGACCACCAGAAAUAUCAAGAAUGGGCAUCUAAACAACUUCAUGGUAGAUACAAAAAUAACAUAGAUGGCGGUCAUAUAGACAAAACAAAAUCUUUAAAAUGGCUAACACUAGGUUAUUUGUUUCCUGAGACCGAAGGAUUCGUUGUUGCAAUUCAGGAUCAGGUCAUCAAAACAAAAAACUAUGAAAAAUACAUAAUGAAGCAAGAUAAUGUAAUUGACAAAUGUCGCAAAUGUGGAAAGCCUCAGGCCUCAGGAAAACCUUGAUCAUAUUACGUCAUCAUGUGUGACACUAGCUCCUACGAAAUAUCUAAAAAGGCAUAACGAAGUAGCUACCAUCCUCUACAAGGAAAUAUUGAGGAAAUACUCGUUGCUUGAAGAAGAUCCUAAACCCUAUUACUCAUUCGAACCAAAGCCAGUCAUCGAAAAUGAAGAGGUAAAGAUAUACUGGGAUAAGACAAUACUCACAGAUGCGACAAUACCGCACAACAGGCGGGAUAUAACACUAAUUUAUAAACGUAACAUACAAGUCAAGCUCAUAGACAUAUCCGUACCAAACACACAAAACUUGACCCAAAAAUAUCAAGAGAAAAUACAUAAAUAUACUCACGAAAAAAAUAAUAAUCACACCUUUGAUUACAAUAAAACAAGAAUUUUAAACACCGAAAUUAAUUUGAAAAAACGAGAAUUCCUUGAAAUGAUUCAGAUACAAAAAAACAAAAAUGCAAUUAACGAAAAAAAAGAUGUCGAUAAGCUAAGUAGAAUAUACACACCAAUCUUGUAAAUAGAAACGCUUCAGUACAGAAAAUACAUUGAGCCGGCCAUCACAAUUUAUUAAAAUUUUAAACUGUAUAUGUUAAUUAUUGUGUCAUGUGGGCGAUAUUGUAUGAGUAUAAUUUUAAGUUAAAUGUUAUGUGUUAUCACCUGUUAUUUUAUGCACCCAUGUUUUAAUACAAGUUUGACGAAGGAAAUGUACGUUUUGUGGCUUUGAAAAAGGUUAAAACUGGACCGAAAUGUUAGUUAUAUAAUAAACACUUCCUAAACCCAGAAAAAGUUUAAUAUUGACCAAAAGCCAAGAACCCUAUAAAUAAAAAAUAUACUCACCUUGCACAAGAGAUCGAAGCGAUGUGGAAUAUGAAGGUUAGCAUUAUACCCAGUAUUAUAUCAGUUGAAGGCAUUGUACCAAAGACUCUUGAACAAAACUUGAAAUUACUGAACAUUACUGCAAAUACUUACAUUUAUAUGCAGAAAGCUGUUAUUCUUAACACAUGUAACAUUGUGCGGUCAUUCCUAGGAUCAACAUUGUAAGAAUUCUUGGCAAAGACCCGAAUUCCUACAUUAUAACCAGCUAUACUGAGCCUUUGACUCAUGUCAAGAUGGUAAAUAUUCGAUAUAUGUUGGCUAACAUGGUCUCUACGAGGAAUCAGUUUUACAUAUCUUACGCUUUUUGUACUCUAUAUUUAUUAAAAGUUGUCAAAAAAGGACCAUACACAACGUCCAAAAAAAAAAAAAGAAACUUACUUUAAAUCAUAGACGUAGCAGUAUAUUCGACGCAUAUUCCAUGACAAUGCGCUUAAAAUAAUUUGGGCUGAGGGACUUCAUAUGAUCAGGCAAGAUGUUGUACACAUGCCCAGCUAGGUAAAAGAAACAAACAGUUUUUAAAAAAAUUGCGUUUCAUGUCUAGGAAUGCAAAUCGCGUUUUGAUUGCGGACGUUCACUGGGAUGACUUCACUACGCCUAACCAUGGCCUCAGUCAGGUAGGAAGGAAUACCCGUGAUUACAACCUGCUUGUGUAAGAGGCAGGACAUGUGCAAGGUUAUUAAAAGGACGUGUACAAAACGCCUUUGACUCAUGUCAAGAUGGUAAAUAUUCGAUAUAUGUUGGCUAACAUGGUCUCUACGAGGAAUCAGUUUUACAUAUCUUACGCAUGAGUUUUGUAUUUUUUGUACUCUAUAUUUAUUAAAAGUUGUCAAAAAAGGACCAUACACAACGUCCAAAAAAA
Sitophilus oryzae (rice weevil) is the source of this 8687-nucleotide RNA transcript. RefSeq lists it as uncharacterized. NCBI's taxonomy places the organism in Eukaryota, Metazoa, Arthropoda, Insecta, Coleoptera, Curculionidae. The record is from RefSeq and is a predicted model, not a curated record. The transcript has 6 exons.